AGGAGAGAGAUGAGUUGAAGAGAAGUUUCACUGUUAUCAAAGAGUCUCGCAGUUGAUAGCAAAUAAUUGUUUUGCAAUGGAAUCAAUUUAGUGCUCCUCAAAGGUGACAAUUCGUGGUGACAAAAGGUGACAAUGGGUACUAGACACAUCGAAAUCUAUCAGUUUUACCAAACAGUUCAAAGGCAAAAAAGUUUCACUGAAACAAACAAAUUUUUUUACUGAAAUCGAUGAUCUUUGUCGUGAUGUGUAAUUUAGAUGAAAUAUAUCUUUGAAAUAA
This is a non-coding RNA of Brugia malayi, 277 nucleotides long. The record is from RefSeq and is a predicted model, not a curated record. Lineage: Eukaryota; Metazoa; Nematoda; Chromadorea; Rhabditida; Onchocercidae.